AUUGAACGCUGGCGGCAGGCUUAACACAUGCAAGUCGAGCGGGGUGAUGGUGCUUGCACUAUCACUUAGCGGCGGACGGGUGAGUAAUGCUUAGGAAUCUGCCUAUUAGUGGGGGACAACAUCUCGAAAGGGAUGCUAAUACCGCAUACGUCCUACGGGAGAAAGCAGGGGAUCACUUGUGACCUUGCGCUAAUAGAUGAGCCUAAGUCGGAUUAGCUAGUUGGUGGGGUAAAGGCCUACCAAGGCGACGAUCUGUAGCGGGUCUGAGAGGAUGAGCCGCCACACUGGGACUGAGACACGGCCCAGACUCCUACGGGAGGCAGCAGUGGGGAAUAUUGGACAAUGGGGGGAACCCUGAUCCAGCCAUGCCGCGUGUGUGAAGAAGGCCUUAUGGUUGUAAAGCACUUUAAGCGAGGAGGAGGCUCUUUUGGUUAAUACCCAAGAUGAGUGGACGUUACUUGCAGAAUAAGCACCGGCUAACUCUGUGCCAGCCGCCGCAGUAA
Molecule: ribosomal RNA, 503 nt
Filed under: uncultured bacterium
Lineage: Bacteria
Description: partial 16S ribosomal RNA
Rfam family: Bacterial small subunit ribosomal RNA
Source: RNAcentral